UCACGAACAAGGCAAACCAUCUGAAAGGGUGGGACGCAAAGCUUCCGGCCUAAAAGCAAAGACUUAGAGAUAAAGUUCUUGCUCAUGGUAGCGGGGUUGCCGAU
This 104-nucleotide non-coding RNA is filed under the name Photobacterium halotolerans. RNAcentral describes it as "c-di-GMP sequence". It matches the Rfam family "c-di-GMP-I riboswitch aptamer". Rfam says of the family: GEMM was predicted in a large-scale screen for bacterial structured RNA regulatory elements. Genes associated with GEMM are involved in a diverse array of functions, including chemotaxis regulation, signal transduction, secretion and chitin. The record is from RNAcentral. Lineage: Bacteria; Pseudomonadati; Pseudomonadota; Gammaproteobacteria; Vibrionales; Vibrionaceae.